RNAcentral lists this ribosomal RNA (254 nucleotides) under uncultured bacterium. Its description in RNAcentral is "partial 16S ribosomal RNA". It matches the Rfam family "Bacterial small subunit ribosomal RNA", at positions 524 to 776 of the family's 1533-position model. The record is from RNAcentral.
UACGGGGGGAGCAAGCGUUGUUCGGAUUUACUGGGCGUAAAGGGCGCGUAGGCGGUCAGCACAAGUCAGUUGUGAAAUCUCCGGGCUUAACUCGGAAAGGUCAACUGAUACUGUGCGACUAGAGUGCGGAAGGGGCAACUGGAAUUCUCGGUGUGGCGGUGAAAUGCGCAGAUAUCAGGAGGAACACCGGUGGCGAAGGCGGGUCUCUGGGCCGAUACUGACGCUGAGGAGCGAAAGCGUGGGGAGCAAACAGG